Molecule: ribosomal RNA, 253 nt
Filed under: uncultured bacterium
Lineage: Bacteria
Description: partial 16S ribosomal RNA
Rfam family: Bacterial small subunit ribosomal RNA
Source: RNAcentral
UACGUAGGGGGCAAGCGUUGUCCGGAUUUAUUGGGCGUAAAGAGCGUGUAGGCGGCUAGGUAGGUCCGUUGUGAAAACUCGAGGCUCAACCUCGAGACGUCGAUGGAAACCAUCUAGCUAGAGUCCGGAAGAGGAGAGUGGAAUUCCUGGUGUAGCGGUGAAAUGCGCAGAUAUCAGGAAGAACACCCGUGGCGAAGGCGGCUCACUGGCCCGGUACUGACGCUGAGGUGCGAAAGCGUGGGGAGCAAACAGG